This 397-nucleotide ribosomal RNA is filed under the name uncultured bacterium. RNAcentral's name for it is "partial 16S ribosomal RNA". It matches the Rfam family "Bacterial small subunit ribosomal RNA", at positions 523 to 918 of the family's 1533-position model. The record is from RNAcentral.
AUACGUAGGUGGCGAGCGUUAUCCGGAUUUACUGGGCGUAAAGGGCGUGUAGGCGGUCUUGCAAGUCAGAAGUGAAAUUCCUGAGCUCAACUCGGGCGCUGCUUCUGAAACUGCAGGACUUGAGUGCUGGAGGGGAUAGCGGAAUUCCUAGUGGAGCGGUAAAAUGCGCAGAUAUUAGGAAGAACACCGGUGGCGAAGGCGGCUAUCUGGACAGUAACUGACUCUGAAGGACGAAAGCGUGGGGAGCAAACAGGAUUAGAUACCCUGGUAGUCCACGCCGUAAACGUUGUCAACUUGAUGUGGGAGGAUUUAGUCCCUUCCGUAUCGAAGCAAAUGCGUUAAGUUGACCGCCUGGGGACUACGGCCGCAAGGCUAAAACUUAAAUGAAUUGGCGGGG